This is a non-coding RNA of Cricetulus griseus (Chinese hamster), 443 nucleotides long. Lineage: Eukaryota; Metazoa; Chordata; Mammalia; Rodentia; Cricetidae. The record is from RefSeq and is a predicted model, not a curated record.
CCAGGGACUGGCAGAUGGAAGGCCCAUCUCGGUCUCAUUGCUUUAUUGCAGAUCUUUGGUGACUAUUACCACUUCAGGCAUAGAGCAGUGACAAAGCGGUCCUUGUCACCUCACCGCCAGCGACACAUCCGGCUACAGAGGGAGCCUCAAGUAAAGUGGCUGGAGCAGCAGGUAGCAAAACGGAGGACCAAGCGGGACGUGUAUCAGGAGCCCACAGACCCCAAGUUUCCCCAGCAGUGGUACCUGUCUGGUGUCACUCAGCGAGACCUGAAUGUGAAGGAAGCCUGGGCCCAGGGCUUCACAGGUCACGGCAUUGUGGUCUCCAUCCUGGACGACGGCAUUGAGAAGAACCAUCCCGACUUGGCAGGCAAUUAUGAUCCUGGAGCCAGUUUUGAUGUCAAUGACCAGGACCCUGACCCUCAGCCUCGGUAUACACAGAUGAA